ACUCCUACGGGAGGCAGCAGUGGGGAAUAUUGCACAAUGGGGGAAACCCUGAUGCAGCCAUGCCGCGUGUGUGAAGAAGGCCUUCGGGUUGUAAAGCACUUUCAGUCGUGAGGAAGGUAGUGUAGUUAAUAGCUGCAUUAUUUGACGUUAGCGACAGAAGAAGCACCGGCUAACUCCGUGCCAGCAGCCGCGGUAAUACGGAGGGUGCGAGCGUUAAUCGGAAUUACUGGGCGUAAAGCGCAUGCAGGUGGUUUGUUAAGUCAGAUGUGAAAGCCCGGGGCUCAACCUCGGAAUUGCAUUUGAAACUGGCAGACUAGAGUACUGUAGAGGGGGGUAGAAUUUCAGGUGUAGCGGUGAAAUGCGUAGAGAUCUGAAGGAAUACCGGUGGCGAAGGCGGCCCCCUGGACAGAUACUGACACUCAGAUGCG
Molecule: ribosomal RNA, 428 nt
Filed under: uncultured bacterium
Lineage: Bacteria
Description: bacterial SSU rRNA
Rfam family: Bacterial small subunit ribosomal RNA
Source: RNAcentral